Nerophis ophidion (straightnose pipefish) is the source of this 1125-nucleotide long non-coding RNA. RefSeq lists it as uncharacterized. The record is from RefSeq and is a predicted model, not a curated record. Lineage: Eukaryota; Metazoa; Chordata; Actinopteri; Syngnathiformes; Syngnathidae. The transcript is spliced from 3 exons.
AGUAGCCAGGAGACAGGACAUGAGAGAUGGAUGACAUUUCUGCUCAAAGUAGUUUUUAAACCUUGUUUUCACCUGAAAUAUUGUGCUGACCCAUUUUAAAGUACAUGACUAUUUUGUCACUUUAUAGAGCAGACUUCCAUUGUUUGUCAUGAAGCUGUGUUUGACUGUAGAAGCUGAGUUGGCCAGGCUUCUCUUUUUGAUGGCCAGCUAAGAAAGAAGCAUCUAGUCCAAGGAUGGGUUUUGGAAGAUUCCAUCCAGGAAGCUGAGCACCACCUGGUCUGUCCGGGCAGUGUGCGGCCCUCAGUGGAAAAAGUUUGGACACCCCUGGUCUACAUUGAAACACAGGGCGGCGGAUGGACGGGGGAGGGGGGUCUUAAACGGUGGCAUUGUUGUGUGUGGACAAGGAUAAGGUUAGGUGGGAUUCACCCUGCAUAACCUUAUCCAGCUCAGUGUAGAAGGAGCCUUACUUGUCCACUGUCAAAUAUACACAACAUGGAAAAUAGAUGAUUAGGAAGCCAGAGUCGGCGUGAUCAGAUCAUCACAGCACCCCCACUUCCUGGUACUCGCGGACCACCCCCCCUCCCCCGGACUGUCUAGGCAGCAUCUGCCCAGGAAAAUAAAACCCCCGUUUCCUUCACGUGUAGUGAGGAUGAUUUGCAUAACGUCCCCCUCUGUAAGGUGAAAACAGAAUAAUAAUUGGCUUGCCCUUUUCUCUCUGCGUGUUGUAAAACAGUUAGGAAUUAAUUUGAGGAUAACUGUGCAAUUAAUUCUAAAUGCUAAAGACGGUGCGAGGGCUUUGAAUGUAAAGGAUGCACGGACGGAGGUCAGCGAGCAAAGACUUGUGGAACUCUGCUGCAUCCAAACAUCACCUGCUGUGUUUACCUUGGACUUUUGUAUUGCUUUGACCAUCCCUAUUGUUUCAUUUCAUUUCAUUAUUUCUUUCAUUCAUUUUAAAUAAAUGCAACAACAGCAUUUAGCAAGGAUGAAAGGGAGUAUAAACAAAGUCAAACUUAUCAUAUCUGGUCCCAGGGCGACCAUCAAGUUUAUUGUCUCACACACAUACUCCUUCUCCAGUCUUCUGUUCGGACUUCUACUGUCAAAUGUUUUUAUUUGAUUCCCAUCCGA